UUGUCGAUAAGGGGGCAAAUUUUUGGACAAAGGGAAUAUUGUAUUUUUUGCAAGUUUCUAGAUUCAUCAAUGCUAACAGAAAAACAUAGUUGUUUGUCACCUCUUUGUCAUUUCUUUAAGGGAUAAAUAAUUAUUUGUUGCAAGUAAAGAUAAUGAGUGUAAUUUUAUCUUUUGAUCCACAACAACCGUUUGAAUUGGUUUGAUGAUGUUUGUCAAAUGCACUAAGUAGAGGCAUUUGUCAAAUGCUAUGAUGAUGUUUUGAUUUUGGGGAGGUCCCAAACUACUAUCUUUAGUUGUAUGAUUAUGUAUACAAAAGAGGAAAUGUAAAUUAGUUGAGUGUUGAAGGUUGAAGAAUACUAGUUGCAAUAGAGGCCUAAUGGUGAGGAGUUGUUGGAUCCAUACUUUUACUUCUACUUCUUUCUGUUUUGAAAACUAUUGCAUCAGUGGUUUCCACCUUUCUUCGUGGGGUUAGCCAUUUUUUCUUAAACUAGCACUUAAUUUUUUGCCUUGGUGGGGGUUGGGGGAUGUUGGGGAUUUUUCUAGUUGUCAAGAGAUUUGAAAUUGCUAUUACUGGAAAGUUUUGAAAUUUCAGUACUUCGCCCUGGAGCUCAGCUGUCCAAAUCUAGAAAUGCGUAAAACUUUGUUCUAAGUUGUUUGAUUUCUAUCAAUAUGAAACUUUUGGGGGUGGUGAAGAAUUUGGUAAUGCUUUAAUGGAUUUGUAGUAUGAUAUCCUUUAAGGCAAGAAAUUUCCUUUCCUUUAUUAGCAAAGUUGUUGCUACCAGUUUACCGUGGUUGCAAUUAUUUGUUCUUUUUGAAGAUUUUGGUAAUGCUUUAAUGGAUUUGUAGUAUGAUGUCCUUUAAGGCAAGAAAUUUCCUUUCCUUGAUCAGCAAAGUUGUCACUACAACCAGUUUAUUGUCGCUGCAAUUAUUCGAUCUUUUUGGAUGCAGAAGAUCUUAUGGAGAUACUCCUCUAAAACCUUCUUUUUGCAUAGCAGGCAUCUUGUUCCAAGGGUUGUGUCAAUGUUGUUCGGUUCUUUUCUUUUUUUUUUUUUAAAUAAGGGUAACAGAAUGUUGUUUGGUUCUUUAAGUUAAUGGAUUCAAUAUUAAUAUGUUGCUUUAGCUGUACUCAAAUGUGCUACAUUGUGAUGUACAAAGAAACGCACCAGAUUAUGUUUUAUGUUUGCAUUUAAUCUUUGCCUGCUGGUUGAAAAUCGCGAAUGAAGAAAGGCUAAUUUAGACUCGCGAACGAUUGCAGUUGAAAAUCGUGGA
Long non-coding RNA from Lycium barbarum (goji berry), 1269 nucleotides. RefSeq lists it as uncharacterized. The record is from RefSeq and is a predicted model, not a curated record. Lineage: Eukaryota; Viridiplantae; Streptophyta; Magnoliopsida; Solanales; Solanaceae. The transcript is spliced from 2 exons.